This 460-nucleotide ribosomal RNA is filed under the name uncultured bacterium. Its description in RNAcentral is "partial 16S ribosomal RNA". It matches the Rfam family "Bacterial small subunit ribosomal RNA", at positions 338 to 795 of the family's 1533-position model. The record is from RNAcentral.
CCUACGGGUGGCAGCAGUGAGGAAUAUUGGUCAAUGGACGAGAGUCUGAACCAGCCAAGUAGCGUGAAGGACGACUGCCCUAUGGGUUGUAAACUUCUUUUAUAUGGGAAUAAAACGUUCCACGUGUGGGAUUUUGUAUGUACCAUAUGAAUAAGGAUCGGCUAACUCCGUGCCAGCAGCCGCGGUAAUACGGAGGAUCCGAGCGUUAUCCGGAUUUAUUGGGUUUAAAGGGAGCGUAGGUGGAUUGUUAAGUCAGUUGUGAAAGUUUGCGGCUCAACCGUAAAAUUGCAGUUGAAACUGGCAGUCUUGAGUACAGUAGAGGUGGGCGGAAUUCGUGGUGUAGCGGUGAAAUGCUUAGAUAUCACGAAGAACUCCGAUUGCGAAGGCAGUUCACUGGACUGCAACUGACACUGAGGCUCGAAAGUGUGGGUAUCAAACAGGAUUAGAUACCCCAGUAGUC